Molecule: ribosomal RNA, 489 nt
Filed under: uncultured bacterium
Lineage: Bacteria
Description: partial 16S ribosomal RNA
Rfam family: Bacterial small subunit ribosomal RNA
Source: RNAcentral
AUUGAACGCUGGCGGCAGGCCUAACACAUGCAAGUCGAACGGUAACAGGAAGCAGCUUGCUGCUUCGCUGACGAGUGGCGGACGGGUGAGUAAUGUCUGGGAAGCUGCCUGAUGGAGGGGGAUAACUACUGGAAACGGUAGCUAAUACCGCAUAAUGUCGCAAGACCAAAGAGGGGGACCUUCGGGCCUCUUGCCAUCGGAUGUGCCCAGAUGGGAUUAGCUUGUUGGUGGGGUAACGGCUCACCAAGGCGACGAUCCCUAGCUGGUCUGAGAGGAUGACCAGCCACACUGGAACUGAGACACGGUCCAGACUCCUACGGGAGGCAGCAGUGGGGAAUAUUGCACAGUGGGCGCAAGCCUGAUGCAGCCAUGCCGCGUGUAUGAAGAAGGCCUUCGGGUUGUAAAGUACUUUCAGCGGGGAGGAAGGGAGUAAAGUUAAUACCUUUGCUCAUUGACGUUACCCGCAGAAGAAGCACCGGCUAACUCCGU